UACGGAGGGUGCGAGCGUUGUCCGGAAUCACUGGGCGUAAAGGGCGCGUAGGCGGCUACUUAAGCGUGUGGUGAAAGUCCGGGGCUCAACCCCGGAUCGGCCGUGCGAACUGAGUGGCUCGAGCACUGUAGAGGCAGGUGGAAUUCCGGGUGUAGCGGUGGAAUGCGUAGAGAUCCGGAAGAACACCAGCGGCGAAGGCGGCUAACUGGUCCAGAUCUGACGCUGAGGUGCGAAAGCGUGGGGAGCAAACAGG
Molecule: ribosomal RNA, 253 nt
Filed under: uncultured bacterium
Lineage: Bacteria
Description: partial 16S ribosomal RNA
Rfam family: Bacterial small subunit ribosomal RNA
Source: RNAcentral